AUUGAACGCUGGCGGCAGGCCUAACACGUGCAAGUCGAGCGGAUGAAGGGAGCUUGCUCCUGGAUUCAGCGGCGGACGGGUGAGUAAUGCCUAGGAAUCUGCCUGGUAGUGGGGGAUAACGUCCGGAAACGGGCGCUAAUACCGCAUACGUCCUGAGGGAGAAAGUGGGGGAUCUUCGGACCUCACGCUAUCAGAUGAGCCUAGGUCGGAUUAGCUAGUUGGUGGGGUAAAGGCCUACCAAGGCGACGAUCCGUAACUGGUCUGAGAGGAUGAUCAGUCACACUGGAACUGAGACACGGUCCAGACUCCUACGGGAGGCAGCAGUGGGGAAUAUUGGACAAUGGGCGAAAGCCUGAUCCAGCCAUGCCGCGUGUGUGAAGAAGGUCUUCGGAUUGUAAAGCACUUUAAGUUGGGAGGAAGGGCAGUAAGUUAAUACCUUGCUGUUUUGACGUUACCAACAGAAUAAGCACCGGCUAACCUCGUG
RNAcentral lists this ribosomal RNA (484 nucleotides) under uncultured bacterium. RNAcentral's name for it is "partial 16S ribosomal RNA". It matches the Rfam family "Bacterial small subunit ribosomal RNA", at positions 30 to 507 of the family's 1533-position model. The record is from RNAcentral.